This 941-nucleotide ribosomal RNA is filed under the name Tylos sp. clade G MM-2013. Its description in RNAcentral is "partial 18S small subunit ribosomal RNA". It matches the Rfam family "Eukaryotic small subunit ribosomal RNA", at positions 460 to 873 of the family's 1831-position model. Lineage: Eukaryota; Metazoa; Arthropoda; Malacostraca; Isopoda; Tylidae. The record is from RNAcentral.
GGAGGUAGUGACGUGAAAUAACGAUGCGGGACUCUUCCGAGGCCUCGCAAUCGGAAUGAGUUAACUUUAAAUCCUUUCGACGAGGAUCGAUUGGAGGGCAAGUCUGGUGCCAGCAGCCGCGGUAAUUCCAGCUCCAAUAGCGUAUAUUAAAGUUGCUGCGGUUAAAAAGCUCGUAGUUGAAUCUCACGAUUCAACAGGAAGUGAGCGCCGUGGUGGUAGUAGCAAUUACAGUAUUGCUACUACUAAAAUUCACCUUCUCAUUCGUCUCGUUACGGUAGAAGAAGAAGGAGGAUGUCAAAAGCUCGAACAGGGUGUUAAUAAGACGGUGCGAGUUAAUGUUUCGAAAGUGGUGGUAGCGGAGGCGGUCGUCGUUGCUGCUGCUGCUGCUGCUGCUGCAGCAGCUGUUGCUGCUGCGGUGGUGGUAGCAAAAAACUACUGGACGGCCGCCGCUGCUGCUGCUUCUACUACCUCCUUCAUCGUCGACGCCUUAUUCGCAGCAUUGCCUCCUACUACUACUGCUCCUCCUUCUUCUUACCAACGAGCAAAAAAAAGAAGAUGAAGAAGAAGCCUCCGCGUCGUAAUAAUCAUCCUCCAUAAUAACAACCAUCGUCCGGCCGACCGGCGUCAGUAUUAACCAGCAGCAGUAGUUGGCGGCGGCGGCGGCGGCCCCCCCCCCCCCUUCAGAAGGAGUAGUUGAUGUUAUUAUUAUAAUAUACUACCUCUUCCACCUCGGAUGGGGCUGCUGUUGCUGCUGCUGCUGCUGCUGCUGCUGCUGGCUCUCGCGCGCUCGCUCGCGUUCGGUCGGCAACUUCACUUUGACAAAAUUAGAGUGCUCAGAGCGGGCAAGAUCUGAAGCCCGAAUGGAGGUGCAUAGAAUGAUCUAAGAUGACCUCGCGAUCUAAACGUUUGUCGGUUUAUGGGGUCGCGAGGUAAUGAUUAAA